GAGAUUGAAAUUUAGUCCUACAGAAAUUAUAUUAAUGGAUCUCACAUAUUCUCAUGUCAUCUUGAAAAUUGAAUUUAUUUGAUUCUGAUAGAAAAUCUAUAACAAAACUCAAAAUGGCUCAAUAGGAGCUUUACAGUUACUCCAGUAGGCCAAUCUAAGCUCAAGCUUGGAUUCAACUUAGCUAUUCAAUUAGCCAUUCAUUUAUGAAGCUUAUAUGCCCCUCCAAAUCCACCUGAAAAGUAGACAAUCUUCAUCAACACAUGUUUCUUUCUUGUCUUCAUCAUUUGUCUUCUUUAAUAAUUACACCAUGAAAACAUAUAUAUUGAUACAACUUAUUUAACCCCCAACACCAUUUCAUCAAAUUCAAGCUAGUAUGCCUCAACAUUCAAACACAAGAAAUAAGCAUUCAAGAAAUGGAAAAAGUUGUCUACCUCUUUUUCUUUUCGUUUAUUUCUUUUUUUUUUUUUUUAUUCUUAUUAUUCUUUCCUUCUCCCUUUUUGCUAGGAUUGUGUUCAACUUCCACAGCUACUGAAUCCUCUGUUUUGUGUGUAUGGGCAUAAAUAGUGAUGUGAAUCCUUAGUUUAGACAACUGUUUCUAUAGAUAUAGAAGUGAUCUACUCAAAAUAAUUCCUUAUAAUGAUGAAUGAAGUUUGAGUAUUGAUUCGUAUCAAUUUUCAAUAAAAAAUAAUUAUAUACCCUCAUUAGUAGGAAUGAACCCUAAUUAAUAAUUUCAAAAUUAAACUAAAGCAUUCAUAGUUGAAAUUAGAGAAAAAUAUAUAAAUAUAUAAAUAAAAUUGCAAGUGGGACAUCAAGUGGGGUCCCUGAAUUAGAAACUCCAUAGAAUAGGAUAAUACUCCUUCAAUUAAUAAAAAAUUAGAUUUUCUUUUUCAAAUAAAAUACACAUACAACUGUUUAGCAAGCAAAAGAUAUUGAUGCUCACCGUCACGGGUCAAUGUAUUUGGAGCCAUGAAUUUCGAGGCGCCGCAUUGCGUCCACAGUCCACAGUCUC
RNAcentral lists this long non-coding RNA (1009 nucleotides) under Salvia miltiorrhiza (redroot sage). Its description in RNAcentral is "long non-coding RNA (SMIL_LNC002625)". The record is from RNAcentral. Lineage: Eukaryota; Viridiplantae; Streptophyta; Magnoliopsida; Lamiales; Lamiaceae.